AUACUUACCUGGCACAGGAGUGACUUUGAUCAAGAAGGAAUGUCCUCCCAAGGUGAGGCCUCGGCAUUGCACUUGGCUGAGGUUGACCCUUGCGAUUCCCCCAAAUGUGGGGAACUCGGGUGUAUAAUUUAUGGUAGCGGGGACUGCGUUCGCGCUAACCCCUA
This 164-nucleotide small nuclear RNA is filed under the name Anneissia japonica. RNAcentral describes it as "U1 spliceosomal RNA". It matches the Rfam family "U1 spliceosomal RNA". Rfam says of the family: U1 is a small nuclear RNA (snRNA) component of the spliceosome (involved in pre-mRNA splicing). Its 5' end forms complementary base pairs with the 5' splice junction, thus defining the 5' donor site of an intron. Lineage: Eukaryota; Metazoa; Echinodermata; Crinoidea; Comatulida; Comatulidae. The record is from RNAcentral.